AUUGGUUAGAGCUUUUCAAUGAGGGGUUUGUUUGAGACAUACAACACUUUUCUCUUUUGCCAUUUCAAAUGGUGACUUAGCUUGACAAAUGUCUAAAGUUAAAGAACUACCAUCCUUAAAGAAAAAAACAAAUACAAAGGAGAUAGAAGAGAUAGAGCAAAACAGAUGUUAGAAAUUGGUAGGAGUAACAUUAAUUUGAUUGUCCUUGUUCUUCAAAGAAGAUGCAUU
Molecule: long non-coding RNA, 228 nt
Filed under: Glycine max (soybean)
Lineage: Eukaryota; Viridiplantae; Streptophyta; Magnoliopsida; Fabales; Fabaceae
Description: long non-coding RNA (GMAX_LNC004661)
Source: RNAcentral